UACGUAGGGGGCAAGCGUUGUCCGGAAUUAUGGGGCGUAAAGAGCGUGUAGGCGGUCCGGUAAGUCAGCUGUGAAAGUCAAGGGCUCAACCCUUGAAUGCCGGUUGAUACUGUCGGGCUAGAGUCCGGAAGAGGCGAGUGGAAUUCCCGGUGUAGCGGUGAAAUGCGCAGAUAUCGGGAGGAACACCAAUGGCGAAGGCAGCUCGCUGGGACGGUACUGACGCUGAGACGCGAAAGCGUGGGGAGCAAACAGG
RNAcentral lists this ribosomal RNA (253 nucleotides) under uncultured bacterium. Its description in RNAcentral is "partial 16S ribosomal RNA". It matches the Rfam family "Bacterial small subunit ribosomal RNA", at positions 524 to 776 of the family's 1533-position model. The record is from RNAcentral.